RNAcentral lists this unclassified non-coding RNA (217 nucleotides) under Hevea brasiliensis (rubber tree). Lineage: Eukaryota; Viridiplantae; Streptophyta; Magnoliopsida; Malpighiales; Euphorbiaceae. The record is from RNAcentral.
AAAAAUAUAUAAAUUAAAAUUAUUUUUAGCCAUGUGCAAAAGCACAGGCAAUUACCUAGUUCUAUUAGUAUAUCAGGAUCAGGCGUUAAAUUGAAAUGCAGUCUUAACAGUUGCUAUCCAUUUACUGUUGCUUAUAAGUUUGUGUGCACAUUCAUGAACAAAAAUGCUAUUAAUUAUCAAAUUUAACUUUGCCAGGAAGUCUCAUAGUGGGUAGUUU